Molecule: ribosomal RNA, 1646 nt
Filed under: Clostridioides difficile DA00203
Lineage: Bacteria; Bacillati; Bacillota; Clostridia; Peptostreptococcales; Peptostreptococcaceae
Description: bacterial LSU rRNA
Rfam family: Bacterial large subunit ribosomal RNA
Source: RNAcentral
AGGACAUGUGGACAGUAUGGGAGUGAGAAUGUUGGCAUGAGUAGCGAGAUGUGGGUGAGAAUCCCACAGGCCGUAAACCCAAGGUUUCCAGGGGAAGGUUCGUCCGCCCUGGGUUAGUCGGGACCUAAGCUGAGGCCGAAAGGCGUAGGUGAUGGACAACAGGUUGAUAUUCCUGUACUACCGAUAACCGUUUGAGAGAAGGGAUGACACAGUAGGAUAAGCUAAGCACACUGUUGGUUAUGUGUGCCCAAGCAUUGAGGCAGUCAAAGUAGGCAAAUCCGCUUUGAUAAUGCUGGGAUGUGAUGGGGAGCGAAAUUUAGUAGCGAAGUAGCUGAUUUCACACUGUCAAGAAAAGUCUCUAUCGAGGUUAAAGGUACCCGUACCGCAAACCGACACAGGUGGGUGAGGAGAGUAUCCUAAGGCCAGCGAGAGAACUGUUGUUAAGGAACUCGGCAAAAUGACCCCGUAACUUAGGGAUAAGGGGUGCCACCAUCAGGUGGCCGCAGAGAAUAGGCCCAAGCGACUGUUUACCAAAAACAUAGGUUUCUGCUAAGUCGCAAGACGAUGUAUAGGAGCUGACGCCUGCCCGGUGCUGGAAGGUUAAGGGGAUCUGUUAGAGCAAUCGAAGCAGUGAACUUAAGCCCCAGUAAACGGCGGCCGUAACUAUAACGGUCCUAAGGUAGCGAAAUUCCUUGUCGGGUAAGUUCCGACCCGCACGAAAGGCGUAACGAUUUGGGCACUGUCUCAACAACAGACUCGGUGAAAUUGUAAUUCCGGUGAAGAUGCCGGAUACCUGCGACAGGACGGAAAGACCCCAUGGAGCUUUACUGUAGCUUGACAUUGGGUCUUGGUACUACAUGUACAGGAUAGGUGGGAGGCUUUGAAACCAGGACGCCAGUUUUGGCGGAGCCAUCCUUGGGAUACCACCCUUGUAGUACUGGGACUCUAACCAUAGGCCAUGAAUCUGGUCUUGGGACACUGUCAGGUGGGCAGUUUGACUGGGGCGGUCGCCUCCCAAAAGGUAGCGGAGGCGCUCAAAGGUUCUCUCAGUACGGUCGGAAAUCGUACGUAGAGUGUAAAGGCAAAAGAGAGCUUGAUUGCAAGACAUACAGGUCGAGCAAGGAUGAAAAUCGGACUUAGUGAUCCGGUGGUUCUGCGUGGAAGGGCCAUCGCUCAACGGAUAAAAGCUACCCUGGGGAUAACAGGCUUAUCUCCCCCAAGAGUCCACAUCGACGGGGAGGUUUGGCACCUCGAUGUCGGCUCAUCACAUCCUGGGGCUGUAGUAGGUCCCAAGGGUUGGGCUGUUCGCCCAUUAAAGUGGUACGCGAGCUGGGGUUCAGAACGUCGUGAGACAGUUCGGUCCCUAUCCGUCGCAGGCGUAGGAAAUUUGAGAAGACCUGUCCUUAGUACGAGAGGACCGGGAUGGACGUACCUCUGGUGUACCAGUUGUCCUGCCAAGGGCAUGGCUGGGUAGCUAUGUACGGAAUGGAUAAGCGCUGAAAGCAUCUAAGCGCGAAGCCAACUUCAAGAUAAGAUUUCCCACCGCAAGGGUAAGACCCCAGAAAGACUAUCUGGUUGAUAGGUCGAAGGUGUAAGUGCAGCAAUGUAUUUAGCUUAUCGAUACUAAUAGGUCGAGGACUUGACCA